GUGGGGAAUAUUAGGCAAUGGGGGAAACCCUGACCUAGCAACGCCGCGUGAAGGAAGAAGGCUUUCGGGUUGUAAACUUCUUUUACCAGGGACGAAGGACGUGACGGUACCUGGAGAAAAAGCCACGGCUAACUACGUGCCAGCAGCCGCGGUAAUACGUAGGUGGCAAGCGUUGUCCGGAUUUACUGGGUGUAAAGGGCGUGUAGGCGGAGCAGCAAGUCAGAAGUGAAAUCUCCGGGCUUAACCCGGAAACUGCUUUUGAAACUGUUGCCCUUGAGUAUCGGAGAGGCAGGCGGAAUUCCUAGUGUAGCGGUGAAAUGCGUAGAUAUUAGGAAGAACACCAGUGGCGAAGGCGGCCUGCUGGACGACAACUGACGCUGAGGCGCGAAAGCGUGGGGAGCAAACAGGAUUAGAUACCCUAGUAGUCC
This 428-nucleotide ribosomal RNA is filed under the name uncultured bacterium. RNAcentral's name for it is "bacterial SSU rRNA". It matches the Rfam family "Bacterial small subunit ribosomal RNA", at positions 354 to 796 of the family's 1533-position model. The record is from RNAcentral.